UACGUAGGGUGCGAGCGUUGUCCGGAAUUAUUGGGCGUAAAGAGCUCGUAGGCGGUUUGUCGCGUCGACUGUGAAAACCUGGGGCUUAACUCUGGGCCUGCAGUCGAUACGGGCAGACUUGAGUUCGGUAGGGGAGACUGGAAUUCCUGGUGUAGCGGUGAAAUGCGCAGAUAUCAGGAGGAACACCGGUGGCGAAGACGGGUCUCUGGGCCGAUACUGACGCUGAGGAGCGAAAGCGUGGGGAGCGAACAGG
Molecule: ribosomal RNA, 253 nt
Filed under: uncultured bacterium
Lineage: Bacteria
Description: partial 16S ribosomal RNA
Rfam family: Bacterial small subunit ribosomal RNA
Source: RNAcentral